GUGGUUUUGCUGGUGAUUGACUCAAUUCAUGCUUACUCUUGCAAUUUUUGUUAUGGGGGAUGGAGGGUUGUGGCUAUGUCAUGAUCUUAAACUAGUGUUCACUCCUGUUUUCUUGAUUCUUACACACUGUACACGCAUGUUAUGUGAAUUUGUAUGGUUCUAUUCACGUACCUAUUUUGUGUUUCUGAUUUUAAGUGAUUGCUGGUUUCUAUCUGUUUGGACAUAUUAGUGUGAUUAUAGAAGCUUGGGUUAAUAUCUACAUAUGGCUUCGCUUAAAAGUUUUUACUUAUGGUUGAAGUUAAAUAUGCGUGUUUGCUUCAUGUAUUCAUCUCACUUUCAGAAGGGGAAGUAAACUCUUUAACUGAUUUAUUUUUCUAAUUUCAUGACUUUGCUUUUGCCAAAUAAAUUUUAACAAUUACUUGAAAAAGUAGUGCUCAAUAGUUGUGAUUUGGCACACAAAUGUGAUCUUGGAAAAAGCGAAAAGGGGAUAAAAGUAUGUUAAUUAUUUUGUAUAUAUGUGUGGUUAUUUGGGUGACAAAGUGGAUAUUGUAGUGAAUUAAUUUUGGAAAUGACUGGUCGAGACUUGAGCAUAUGUAAGUUUGAGUUUGUUAUAUGAACAAAUUUGUGGUUUUGCUGGUUAUUGACUCAAUUCAGGCUUACUCUUGCAGUUCUGUUUUGGGGGGUGGCUGGCGGGUUGUGGCUAUAUCAUGAUCUUAAUCUAGUGUUCACUCCUGUUUUCUUGAUUAUUACACACGUCAUGUGGAUUUGUAUGGUUCUAUUUAUGUACCUAUUUUGUGUUUCUGAUUUUAAGUGAUUGCUAGUUUCUAUCUGUCUGGACAUAUUAGUGUGAUUAUAGGAGCUUGUGUUAAUACAUAUGGCUCUGCUUAAAAGUUUUUACUUAUGGUUAAGUUAAAUAUGCUUGUUUACUUCAUGUAAUCAUCACGCUUGGAGAAGGGGAAGUAAACUCUCAACUGAUUUAUCUUUCUAAUUUCACGAUUUUGCUUUUGGCGAAUAAAUUUUAACAAUUACUUGAAAAAGUAGUGCUCAAUAGUUGUGAUUUGGCGCACAAAUGUGAU
RNAcentral lists this long non-coding RNA (1076 nucleotides) under Olea europaea (common olive). RNAcentral describes it as "long non-coding RNA (OEUR_LNC003134)". The record is from RNAcentral. Lineage: Eukaryota; Viridiplantae; Streptophyta; Magnoliopsida; Lamiales; Oleaceae.